This 427-nucleotide ribosomal RNA is filed under the name uncultured bacterium. RNAcentral describes it as "bacterial SSU rRNA". It matches the Rfam family "Bacterial small subunit ribosomal RNA", at positions 355 to 774 of the family's 1533-position model. The record is from RNAcentral. RNAcentral also lists the same sequence under 1 other name.
UGGGGAAUUUUGGACAAUGGGGGAAACCCUGAUCCAGCCAUCCCGCGUGUGCGAUGAAGGCCUUCGGGUUGUAAAGCACUUUUGGCAGGAAAGAAACGUCGCGGGUUAAUACCCCGCGGAACUGACGGUACCUGCAGAAUAAGCACCGGCUAACUACGUGCCAGCAGCCGCGGUAAUACGUAGGGUGCAAGCGUUAAUCGGAAUUACUGGGCGUAAAGCGUGCGCAGGCGGUUCGGAAAGAAAGAUGUGAAAUCCCAGAGCUUAACUUUGGAACUGCAUUUUUAACUACCGGGCUAGAGUGUGUCAGAGGGAGGUGGAAUUCCGCGUGUAGCAGUGAAAUGCGUAGAUAUGCGGAGGAACACCGAUGGCGAAGGCAGCCUCCUGGGAUAACACUGACGCUCAUGCACGAAAGCGUGGGGAGCAAACA